Molecule: ribosomal RNA, 253 nt
Filed under: uncultured bacterium
Lineage: Bacteria
Description: partial 16S ribosomal RNA
Rfam family: Bacterial small subunit ribosomal RNA
Source: RNAcentral
UACGUAGGGUGCGAGCGUUAAUCGGAAUUACUGGGCGUAAAGCGUGCGCAGGCGGUUCGCUGUGUCCUGUGUGAAAGCCCCGGGCUUAACCUGGGAAUGGCAUGGGAAACUGGCGAGCUUGAGUGCGGCAGAGGGGGGUGGAAUUCCGCGUGUAGCAGUGAAAUGCGUAGAGAUGCGGAGGAACACCGAUGGCGAAGGCGGCAUCCUGGACCAACACUGACACUGAGGAGCGAAAGCCAGGGGAGCAAACGGG